AGACUGGUGAGGAGACACAGAGUCUGGCUGAUUAUGCUCUAAGCACUGACUGUUCCUGACACAGAGUUACAGGGAACUCUAAAGUAAAGUUUUGCAGCUGCAUCCCUGAGAGAGCGAGGUAAAGACCACGUGUUGGGACCGUCAAGCGUCUGCAUCAGAAGCCAGAGGACAUCUUCCUUCACCUACCGGACAAGACAAGCAUCCACCUCGUGGGAAAAGA
Molecule: long non-coding RNA, 220 nt
Organism: Bufo bufo (common toad)
Lineage: Eukaryota; Metazoa; Chordata; Amphibia; Anura; Bufonidae
Exons: 3
Source: RefSeq, a predicted model, not a curated record